UCCCGUAGUGUACACUAAUUCAUCUUUAUUCCAAAUCCCCAGGUGUCCAAUCGUGAACCAAAACACAGAAAACCCAGAAGCAAUCUCUCUGUUUCAACAAUAUUUCUAUACCCUCCUCUUUCUCUUCUCAAAUUAUAUUAUUUGUUCCGUGAUUCAUCGAUCGGACGGCUGUAAUUUCUCCAAUCAUGACGAUGAUGGCUCCUCAACCUUUGGAUCAACAGGAAGACGAAGAGAUGCUGGUGCCAAACUCAGAUUUAGUUGAAGGUCCUCAGCCUUUAGUAGAAACUCCUCAGCCUAUGGAAGUGGCACCAACGAACAAUGCUGGGGCAACGGAAAACCAGGCAAGUGAUGAGCCACAAGCAUCACGGUUCACAUGGGCGAUUGAGAACUUUUCUCGCUUGAAUGUGAAGAAGCUCUAUUCUGAGGUUUUUGUCGUUGGAGGUUAUAAAUGGCGGGUGCUUAUUUUUCCGAAAGGAAACAACGUGGAGCACUUGUCAAUGUAUUUAGAUGUGGCCGAUUCAGCAACCUUGCCAUUUGGUUGGACUAGAUAUGCACAGUUUAGCUUGGCUAUUAUCAACCAAAUCCAUAGCAAGUAUACUAUAAAAAAGGACACACAGCACCAGUUCAGUCAAAGGGAGAGUGAUUGGGGUUUCACUUCUUUCAUGCCUCUCAGUGAGCUUUAUGACCCCAGUAAGGGGUAUCUCAUUAAUGAUACAUGUGUUGUGCAAGCUGAUGUUGCUGUCCGGAAGGUCAUUGAUUACUUGACAUAUGACUCGAAGAAGGAGACUGGUUAUGUUGGACUUAAGAAUCAAGGAGCAACUUGUUACAUGAACUCUCUCCUCCAAACAUUGUACCACAUCCCUUAUUUCAGAAAGGCUGUGUAUCAUAUGCCCACGACAGAGAAUGAUAUGCCCUCGGGGAGCAUACCUUUGGCCUUACAGAGUUUAUUCUAUAAGCUCCAAUAUAAUGACACCAGUGUGGCUACAAAAGAAUUGACUAAAUCUUUUGGAUGGGACACAUAUGAUUCCUUUAUGCAGCAUGAUGUACAAGAACUUAAUAGAGUUUUGUGUGAAAAGCUUGAAGACAAGAUGAAGGGAACUGUUGUUGAAGGGACAAUACAAAAGUUGUUUGAAGGGAACAACAUGAACUACAUCGAAUGUAUCAAUGUAGACUUCAAGUCUACCCGAAAAGAAUCAUUUUAUGACCUUCAACUGGAUGUCAAAGGCUGCAAGGAUAUCUAUGCCUCCUUUGACAAAUACGUGGAAGUUGAACGUCUUGAAGGAGAUAAUAAAUAUCAUGCCGAAGAACAUGGUUUGCAGGAUGCCAAGAAGGGGGUCUUGUUCAUUGACUUCCCUCCAGUUCUUCAGCUUCAGCUUAAGCGCUUUGAAUAUGAUUUUAUGAGAGACAUAAUGGUUAAGAUAAAUGACCGCUAUGAAUUUCCACUGGAACUUGACCUUGAUAGAGACAAUGGUAAAUAUUUGUCGCCUGAUGCAGAUAGGAGCGUACGUAACCUUUACAUGCUCCAUAGUGUUCUGGUUCAUAGUGGUGGGGUGCAUGGUGGACAUUAUUAUGCUUUCAUCAGGCCAACCCUUUCUGAUCAGUGGUACAAAUUUGAUGAUGAGAGGGUCACUAAAGAAGAUACAAAGAGAGCAUUAGAGGAGCAGUAUGGCGGUGAGGAAGAGUUGCCGCAGACAAAUCCUGGUUUCUAUAACACUCCAUUUAAAUUUACGAAAUACUCAAAUGCCUACAUGCUUGUGUAUAUACGUGUGAGCGACAAGGAUAAGAUAAUCUGUGAUGUGGAUGAGAAGGACAUUGCGGAACAUCUUAGGAUAAGACUGAAAAAAGAACAAGAACAGAAGGAAGACAAGAGAAGAUAUAAAGCUCAGGCCCACCUUUAUACUAAUAUCAAGGUUGCUCGAGACGUGGAUUUAAGGGAACAGAUUGGGAAGGAUAUAUUUUUUGAUCUCGUUGAUCAUGAUAAAGUCCAUAGUUUUCGAAUUCAGAAACAGAUACCUUUUAAUCUUUUCAAGGAGGAGGUCGCCAAAGAAUUUGGUAUACCAGUCCAAUUUCAGCGUUUUUGGAUUUGGGCAAAGAGACAGAACCAUACUUAUCGUCCAAACCGUCCAUUGAACCCACAGGAGGAAGCACAGACUGUCGGAGCAUUGAGAGAAGUUUCUAAUAAGGCCCACAAUGCAGAUCUGAAGUUGUUUUUGGAAAUAGAAUUUGGACAGGAUCUACAUCCAAUUCCACCACCUGACAAAAGUAAAGAAGAUAUUCUUCUGUUCUUUAAGCUUUAUGAUCCCGAUAAAGAAGAGCUCCGGUAUGUUGGUAGGCUUUUUGUCAAAGGCUCUAGCAAGCCAAUUGAGAUCCUGACAAAACUAAAUGAAUUGGCUGGAUUUGCUUCUGAUGAAGAGAUUGAACUUUUCGAGGAAAUAAAAUUUGAGCCUUCUGUCAUGUGUGAGCGCCUUGACAAACGAGCUUCAUUUCGGUUUAGCCAGAUUGAAGAUGGGGACAUCAUUUGCUUCCAGAAAAAGCCUCUCCCUGAAAGUGAAGAAAAAUUGCGAUUUCCUGAUGUUCCUUCUUUUUUGGAAUAUGUGAAAAAUCGCCAGAUUGUCCAUUUUCGAGCUUUGGAGAGACCCAAGGAAGAUGAAUUCUGCCUAGAGUUGGCAAAGAACCACACUUACGAUGAUGUUGUGGAAAGGCUGGCGCAACGUCUCGGCUUGGAUGAUCCAUCUAAAAUUCGGCUUACUACUCAUAAUUGCUAUUCUCAGCAACCAAAGCCUACUCCCAUCAAAUACAGAUCAGUUGAUCAGUUGAUAGACAUGCUUGUGCACUACAAUCAGAUCUCUGAUAUUCUUUAUUAUGAAGUACUGGACAUUCCUCUGCCACAAUUACAAUGCCUCAAAACACUGAAAGUUGCUUUUCACUCUGCCACAAAGGAUGAGGCUGUAAUUCUCAAUAUAAGGUUACCAAAACAGGGUACAGUGGGAGAUGUGCUUAAUGUGAUAAAAGAAAAGGUUGAGUUGUCACAUCCAAAUGCCGAACUUAGGUUGCUUGAAGUUUUCUAUCACAAAAUUUAUAAGGCUUGUCAUAUGCAGACUUGUAGAGUUGGAUUUCUGUAUUUUGUUACUUUACUAUAGAUCUUUCCUUUCAAUGAAAAGAUUGAGAAUAUAAACGACCAAUACUGGACCUUGCGGGCUGAGGAGAUUCCAGAAGAAGAGAAGAACCUCGGUCCAAAUGACCGCUUGAUUCAUGUUUACCAUUUUACGAAAGAGAGUGCUCAGAAUCAAGUGCAAAUCCAAAAUUUCGGGGAACCCUUCUUCUUGGUUAUUCAUGAAGGUGAAAUGCUGUCAGAUAUUAAAUUGCGCAUUCAAAAGAAAUUACAGGUUCCAGACGAGGAGUUUUCUAAGUGGAAGUUUGCUGCAUUGUCACUGGGUCGUCCAGAGUAUCUUGAAGACUCUGACAUUGUGUCCAGUCGUUUUCAGAGAAGGGACGUUUACGGUGCUUGGGAGCAGUACCUUGGGUUAGAGCACUCUGAUACUACUCCAAAGAGGGUGUAUACUGCAAACCAGAACCGACAUACAUUUGAGAAGCCUGUCAAAAUAUUCAAUUAAGAAGAAAUAAAUAUGCUUGCUAGAGGACAAUCUGAAGACUGGGACACUGAAAGGAGAAUGAAAGGCAGAAAAGGAAUAGCGUGGUAGUUUUCUUUCUCCCCUAGUUUUUCCGCGACGGUUUCUUAGGCUAUAAUCAUUGAUUUAGCAUGGGGAAAAGGGGGCCUUGACUCCCAAAUGUAUCUUGCUUCUUAUGGUUGGUACGAACUUCCUUUUUUGCCAGUAUUUUCAAGGUGCUUCCCAGCGUUGAAAAAUCCGGGAAUUUUGUAUGGUUUUGUGUAAUUUAUGAUACGUAUCUACAUUUUGGUUGUAUAGUGGCUAUAGUUAAGCCUUUAAUAAUCCAGCUUUUUGUCCUCUUAUU
This is an RNA transcript of Olea europaea var. sylvestris, 3972 nucleotides long. It is a transcript of the gene named ubiquitin carboxyl-terminal hydrolase 12-like, with no coding region annotated. The transcript has 33 exons. The record is from RefSeq and is a predicted model, not a curated record. NCBI's taxonomy places the organism in Eukaryota, Viridiplantae, Streptophyta, Magnoliopsida, Lamiales, Oleaceae.